Molecule: ribosomal RNA, 440 nt
Filed under: uncultured bacterium
Lineage: Bacteria
Description: partial 16S ribosomal RNA
Rfam family: Bacterial small subunit ribosomal RNA
Source: RNAcentral
CCUACGGGUGGCAGCAGUGGGGAAUAUUGCACAAUGGGGGAAACCCUGAUGCAGCGACGCCGCGUGAGUGAAGAAGUAAUUCGUGAUGUAAAGCUCUAUCAGCAGGGAAGAAAAUGCCGGUACCUGAGUACGCAGCCACUGCUAACGACGUGCCAGCAGCCGCGGUAAUACGUAGGGGCCGAGCGGUAUCCGGAUUUGCUGGGUGUAAAGGGAGCGUAGGCCGGCUUUUAAGUCAGACGUGAAAGUCCGCGGCUCAAACGUGGAAUUGCAGGUGAAACUGGAGCCCUUGAGUGUACACAGGGAUGGCGGAAUUCAUGGUGUAGCGGUGAAAUGCUUAGAUAUCAUGAAGAACCCCGAGCGCGAAGGCAAGUGUCCGGGGUGCAACUGACGCUGAGGCUCGAAAGUGCGGGUAUCAAACAGGAUUAGAUACCCCAGUAGUC